RNAcentral lists this ribosomal RNA (324 nucleotides) under uncultured bacterium. Its description in RNAcentral is "bacterial SSU rRNA". It matches the Rfam family "Bacterial small subunit ribosomal RNA", at positions 28 to 334 of the family's 1533-position model. The record is from RNAcentral.
GACGAACGCUGGCGGCGUGCUUAACACAUGCAAGUCGAACGGGGCGCCAUGGAAGGAGACUUCGGUCAACGGAAAUGGCAGCUUAGUGGCGGACGGGUGAGUAACGCGUGAGUAACCUGCCUUUCAGAGGGGGACAACAGUUGGAAACGACUGCUAAUACCGCAUAAUGUAUCUGCAUCGCAUGGAGCGGAUACCAAAGAUUUAUCGCUGAGAGAUGGACUCGCGUCUGAUUAGCUAGUUGGCGGGGUAACGGCCCACCAAGGCGACGAUCAGUAGCCGGACUGAGAGGUUGAACGGCCACAUUGGGACUGAGAUACGGCCCAG